AGCGGCGAACGGGUGAGUAACACGUGGGUGAUCUGCCUUGCACUUCGGGAUAAGCCUGGGAAACUGGGUCUAAUACCGGAUAUGACCACGAACUGCAUGGUUUGUGGUGGAAAGAUUUAUCGGUGCGAGAUGGGCCCGCGGCCUAUCAGCUUGUUGGUGAGGUAACGGCCCACCAAGGCGACGACGGGUAGCCGACCUGAGAGGGUGACCGGCCACACUGGGACUGAGACACGGCCCAGACUCCUACGGGAGGCAGCAGUGGGGAAUAUUGCACAAUGGGCGAAAGCCUGAUGCAGCGACGCCGCGUGCGGGAUGACGGCCUUCGGGUUGUAAACCGCUUUUGACAGGGACGAAGCGCAAGUGACUGUACCUGUAGAAUAAGGACCGGCCAACUACGUGCCAGCAGCCGCGGUAAUACGUAGGGUCCGAGCGUUGUCCGGAAUUACUGGGCGUAAAGAGCUUGUAGGCGGUUCGUCGCGUCGUUUGUGAAAACUUGGGGCUCAACCUUAAGCUUGCAGGCGAUACGGGCGGACUAGAGUACUUCAGGGGAGACUGGAAUUCCUGGUGUAGCGGUGAAAUGCGCAGAUAUCAGGAGGAACACCGGUGGCGAAGGCGGGUCUCUGGGAAGUAACUGACGCUGAGAAGCGAAAGCAUGGGUAGCAAACAGGAUUAGAUACCCUGGUAGUCCAUGCCGUAAACGGUGGGUACUAGGUGUGGGGCUCCUUCCACGGACUCCGUGCCGUAGCUAACGCAUUAAGUACCCCGCCUGGGGAGUACGGCCGCAAGGCUAAAACUCAAAGAAAUUGACGGGGGCCCGCACAAGCGGCGGAGCAUGUGGAUUAAUUCGAUGCAACGCGAAGAACCUUACCUGGGUUUGACAUACACCGGAAACCUGCAGAGAUGUAGGCCCCCUUGUGGUCGGUGUACAGGUGGUGCAUGGCUGUCGUCAGCUCGUGUCGUGAGAUGUUGGGUUAAGUCCCGCAACGAGCGCAACCCUUAUCUUAUGUUGCCAGCGCGUAAUGGCGGGGACUCGUGAGAGACUGCCGGGGUCAACUCGGAGGAAGGUGGGGACGACGUCAAGUCAUCAUGCCCCUUAUGUCCAGGGCUUCACACAUGCUACAAUGGCCGGUACAGAGGGCUGCGAUACCGCGAGGUGGAGCGAAUCCCUUAAAGCCGGUCUCAGUUCGGAUCGGGGUCUGCAACUCGACCCCGUGAAGUUGGAGUCGCUAGUAAUCGCAGAUCAGCAACGCUGCGGUGAAUACGUUCCCGGGCCUUGUACACACCGCCCGUCACGUCAUGAAAGUCGGUAACACCC
This 1315-nucleotide ribosomal RNA is filed under the name Nocardia sp. RNAcentral describes it as "bacterial SSU rRNA". It matches the Rfam family "Bacterial small subunit ribosomal RNA", at positions 94 to 1422 of the family's 1533-position model. Lineage: Bacteria; Bacillati; Actinomycetota; Actinomycetes; Mycobacteriales; Nocardiaceae. The record is from RNAcentral.